CGCCUCUUGUAACCUAAUGAUAAGAGGUCCAGCCUGCCCUGUGACAUCUAGUUUAACGGCCGCGGUACUUUGACCGUGCGAAGGUAGCGUAAUCAUUUGUCUCUUAAAUUGAGACCUGUAUGAAGGGCACCACGAGGGCUUUACUGUCUCCUUUUUCAGGUCAAUGAACUUGAUCUUCUCGUGCAGAAGCGGGAAUACCCACAUAAGACGAGAAGACCCUAUGGAGCUUUAGACACAACACAGACCACGUAAAGCCUUCACAUAAUGAAGUAAAACUAAGUGAUACCUCUGUGGUAUGUCUUUGGUUGGGGCGACCGCGGAGAAAAAUCGAGCCUCCGCGUGGUAGGGAGCAUCUUAUUCACCCUCCUCCUAAAGCCAAGAGCCGCAGCUCUAAGCAACAGAACUUUUGACCAGCACAGAUCCGGCAAGGCCGAUCAACGGACCGAGUUACCCUAGGGAUAACAGCGCAAUCUUCUUUUAGAGCUCAUAUCGACAAGAAGGUUUACGACCUCGAUGUUGGAUCAGGACAUCCUGAGGGUGCAGCCGCUAUCAAGGGUUUGUUUGUUCAACAAUUAAAGUCCU
This 582-nucleotide ribosomal RNA is filed under the name Pseudanthias hypselosoma (stocky anthias). Its description in RNAcentral is "partial 16S ribosomal RNA". It matches the Rfam family "Bacterial large subunit ribosomal RNA", at positions 1817 to 2597 of the family's 2925-position model. Lineage: Eukaryota; Metazoa; Chordata; Actinopteri; Perciformes; Anthiadidae. The record is from RNAcentral.